This 768-nucleotide ribosomal RNA is filed under the name uncultured bacterium. RNAcentral's name for it is "bacterial SSU rRNA". It matches the Rfam family "Bacterial small subunit ribosomal RNA", at positions 59 to 828 of the family's 1533-position model. The record is from RNAcentral.
CAGUCGAACGGAGCUGCUUUGAUGAAGUUUUCGGAUGGAUUUAAAACAGCUUAGUGGCGGACGGGUGAGUAACGCGUGGGUAACCUGCCUCACACUGGGGGAUAACAGUUAGAAAUAGCUGCUAAUACCGCAUAAGCGCACGGUUCCGCAUGGAACAGUGUGAAAAACUCCGGUGGUGUGAGAUGGACCCGCGUCUGAUUAGCCAGUUGGCGGGGUAACGGCCCACCAAAGCGACGAUCAGUAGCCGGCCUGAGAGGGUGAACGGCCACAUUGGGACUGAGACACGGCCCAAACUCCUACGGGAGGCAGCAGUGGGGAAUAUUGCACAAUGGGGGAAACCCUGAUGCAGCGACGCCGCGUGAGUGAAGAAGUAUUUCGGUAUGUAAAGCUCUAUCAGCAGGGAAGAAAAUGACGGUACCUGAAUAAGAAGCCCCGGCUAACUACGUGCCAGCAGCCGCGGUAAUACGUAGGGGGCAAGCGUUAUCCGGAUUUACUGGGUGUAAAGGGAGCGUAGACGGCAAGGCAAGUCUGAAGUGAAAGCCCGGUGCUUAACGCCGGGACUGCUUUGGAAACUGUUUGGCUGGAGUGCCGGAGAGGUAAGCGGAAUUCCUAGUGUAGCGGUGAAAUGCGUAGAUAUUAGGAAGAACACCAGUGGCGAAGGCGGCUUACUGGACGGUAACUGACGUUGAGGCUCGAAAGCGUGGGGAGCAAACAGGAUUAGAUACCCUGGUAGUCCACGCUGUAAACGAUGAUUGCUAGGUGUAGGUG